GUGCCAGCCGCCGCGGUAAGACGGAGGGGGCAAGCGUUGUCCGGACUCACUGGGCGUAAAGGGUGCGUAGGCGGUGGCGUGCGUCCGCGCUGAAAUCUGUCGGCUUAACCGGCAGGCGCGUGCGGAUACGACGGCACUUGAGGCUCUGAGAGGGUGGCGGAACUCCUGGUGUAGUGGUGAAAUGCGUAGAGAUCAGGAAGAACACCCGUGGCGCAAGCGGCCACCUGGCAGAGACCUGACGCUGAGGCACGAAAGCGUGGGGAGCGAACCGGAUUAGAUACCCGCGUAGUCC
Molecule: ribosomal RNA, 292 nt
Filed under: uncultured bacterium
Lineage: Bacteria
Description: partial 16S ribosomal RNA
Rfam family: Bacterial small subunit ribosomal RNA
Source: RNAcentral